RNAcentral lists this ribosomal RNA (253 nucleotides) under uncultured bacterium. Its description in RNAcentral is "partial 16S ribosomal RNA". It matches the Rfam family "Bacterial small subunit ribosomal RNA", at positions 524 to 776 of the family's 1533-position model. The record is from RNAcentral.
UACGGAGGGUGCGAGCGUUGUCCGGAAUCAUUGGGCGUAAAGGGCGCGUAGGUGGCCCAGUUAGCGUGCGGUGAAAGCUCGGGGCUCAACCCCGAGUCGGCCGUGCGAACUGCUGGGCUCGAGCACUGUAGAGGCAGGCGGAAUUCCGGGUGUAGCGGUGGAAUGCGUAGAGAUCCGGAAGAACACCGGUGGCGAAGGCGGCCUGCUGGGCAGUAGCUGACACUGAGGCGCGACAGCGUGGGGAGCAAACAGG